GACGACCAGCCACACUGGAACUGAGACACGGUCCAGACUCCUACGGGAGGCAGCAGUGGGGAAUUUUGGACAAUGGGCGAAAGCCUGAUCCAGCAAUGCCGCGUGAGUGAAGAAGGCCUUCGGGUUGUAAAGCUCUUUUGUCAGGGAAGAAACGGUGAGAGCUAAUAUCUCUUGCUAAUGACGGUACCGGUAGAAUAAGCACCGUCUAACUACGUGCCAGCAGCCGCGGGAAUACGUAGGGUGCAAGCGUUAAUCGGAA
RNAcentral lists this ribosomal RNA (259 nucleotides) under Klebsiella pneumoniae. RNAcentral's name for it is "partial 16S ribosomal RNA". It matches the Rfam family "Bacterial small subunit ribosomal RNA", at positions 299 to 550 of the family's 1533-position model. The record is from RNAcentral. Lineage: Bacteria; Pseudomonadati; Pseudomonadota; Gammaproteobacteria; Enterobacterales; Enterobacteriaceae.